This 460-nucleotide ribosomal RNA is filed under the name uncultured bacterium. RNAcentral describes it as "partial 16S ribosomal RNA". It matches the Rfam family "Bacterial small subunit ribosomal RNA", at positions 338 to 795 of the family's 1533-position model. The record is from RNAcentral.
CCUACGAGUGGCUGCAGUGAGGAAUAUUGGUCAAUGGGCUUACGCCUGAACCAGCCAAGUCGCGUGAGAGAAGACUGCCCUAUGGGUUGUAAACCUCUUUUGUCAGGGAGCAACGCCGGCUACGUGUAGCCGGACUGAGAGUACAUGAAGAAAAAGCAUCGGCUAACUCCGUGCAAGCAGCCGCGGUAAUACGGAGGAUGCGAGAGUUAUCCGGAUUUAUUGGGUUUCAAGGGUGCGUAGGCGGAAUGCCAAGUCAGCGGUAAAAUCGCGGGGCUCAACCUCGCUCCGCCGUUGAAACUGGCGUUCUUGAGUGGGCGAGAAGUAUGCGGAAUGCGUGGUGUAGCGGUGAAAUGCAUAGAUAUCACACAGAACUCCGAUUGCGAAGGCAGCAUACCGGCGCCCAACUGACGCUGAAGCACGAAAGCGUGGGUAUCGAACAGGAUUAGAUACCCCAGUAGUC